GGAGGGGUCGGAUAGUGGUUCAUUCCACAGACCUGGAAAGUCUGCGGCUCACAAGGCCUCGCGGGUUCGAAUCCCGCCCCCUCCG
Molecule: transfer RNA, 85 nt
Filed under: Candidatus Methanoperedens sp.
Lineage: Archaea; Methanobacteriati; Methanobacteriota; Methanomicrobia; Methanosarcinales; Candidatus Methanoperedentaceae
Also listed under: 3 other names
Description: tRNA-Ser
Rfam family: tRNA
About the family: Transfer RNA (tRNA) molecules are approximately 80 nucleotides in length. Their secondary structure includes four short double-helical elements and three loops (D, anti-codon, and T loops). Further hydrogen bonds mediate the characteristic L-shaped molecular structure. tRNAs have two regions of fundamental functional importance: the anti-codon, which is responsible for specific mRNA codon recognition, and the 3' end, to which the tRNAs corresponding amino acid is attached (by aminoacyl-tRNA synthetases). tRNAs cope with the degeneracy of the genetic code in two manners: having more than one tRNA (with a specific anti-codon) for a particular amino acid; and 'wobble' base-pairing, i.e. permitting non-standard base-pairing at the 3rd anti-codon position.
Source: RNAcentral